Molecule: transfer RNA, 87 nt
Filed under: Leptospiraceae bacterium
Lineage: Bacteria; Pseudomonadati; Spirochaetota; Leptospiria; Leptospirales; Leptospiraceae
Description: tRNA-Ser
Rfam family: tRNA
About the family: Transfer RNA (tRNA) molecules are approximately 80 nucleotides in length.
Source: RNAcentral
GGAGGGGUGUCCGAGUGGCUUAAGGUGCAUGCUUGGAAAGCAUGUGUGCGGUAACACGUACCGAGGGUUCGAAUCCCUCCCUCUCCG